CUUGCAGAGGCCGCGAGGGAGCCGCGAGCUGCGGUCGCUCCCGCGCCGAGCCAGAGCGCCGACAUGGCAAUGGGAAAAGUCAGCACCUUUUCCCUGGAGCAGGUCAGCCACCUCGCGUCUCCCGCACUUGUACCAGCCAGCUGGUGGCACAAAAAUAAACGUUUGGCCGGCCAGCUUGGCGUGAAUUUUAUGAAAUCUGCUGCAGGGAAUCGGAAUCACUUUUACUCCUGAACAACCAGUCGGGUUCAAGUCCUUUGGGAAGAGCAGGCAGCCCACACGAAGAGACGACCCCGGUUUCAUUUCUCCCGUCGCGGCUGAUGACCCAGUGCCCCCGCGUCCCCUGCGAGCCCGGCGCCCGGUUCUCUCCAGGAGACCUCCGGCUCUCUCGGCCUCUGCGCCCGCCCCUGGGCCUCCAGACUUGCACCUUAUUGGGGCUCCCUUGGGAGAGGGCCCCCAGUCCCCCAAAGCGAAAGGAUGGCCUUCCCUAUUGCCUGAGUGGCUAUAGCAAUACGGAUUCCAGGACAUCUCAGGGGGCCGAGCGGGACGCGGCGUUUGUACAGCGCGAGCCGGGCCGCUGAGAGUUCACCGUGGACGCGGACACGGCUGGAAGGGAUGCGGCGAGCGUGGGAGGCUCCGAAACCCCAGCGGUUCCGGAUAAGCCAGAAAUGAACACGUUUCCUGGUGAUGCAAUGACGCCACACAGAAUCAGACUAAGGACUGAGCGGCAAGUGUGAGCAGCAGCUGGCUCGUUGGUCUAGGGGUAUGAUUCUCGCUUUGGGUGCGAGAGGUCCCGGGUUCAAAUCCCGGACGAGCCCAGUUU
Myotis myotis is the source of this 820-nucleotide long non-coding RNA. RefSeq lists it as uncharacterized. The transcript is spliced from 2 exons. Lineage: Eukaryota; Metazoa; Chordata; Mammalia; Chiroptera; Vespertilionidae. The record is from RefSeq and is a predicted model, not a curated record.